UACGAAGGGGGCUAGCGUUGUUCGGAAUUACUGGGCGUAAAGCGUGCGCAGGCGGCCUUCCAAGUCAGGGGUGAAAGCCCAGAGCUCAACUCUGGAAUUGCCUUUGAGACUGUGAGGCUUGAGUACGGGAGAGGUGAGUGGAAUUCCCAGUGUAGAGGUGAAAUUCGUAGAUAUUGGGAAGAACACCGGUGGCGAAGGCGGCUCACUGGCUCGUAACUGACGCUCAUGCACGACAGCGUGGGGAUCAAACAGG
This 253-nucleotide ribosomal RNA is filed under the name uncultured bacterium. RNAcentral describes it as "partial 16S ribosomal RNA". It matches the Rfam family "Bacterial small subunit ribosomal RNA", at positions 524 to 776 of the family's 1533-position model. The record is from RNAcentral.